Molecule: ribosomal RNA, 130 nt
Filed under: Salvator merianae (Argentine black and white tegu)
Lineage: Eukaryota; Metazoa; Chordata; Lepidosauria; Squamata; Teiidae
Source: RNAcentral
GUGGACUGCUCCAGCCUGGAUAAGCAACCUAAGUGUAGAAACAGCCAGAGAGGUCUUAGAAGCUAAGCAGAGUCAGGCCUUACUAGGACUUGGAUGGGAGGCCAGCUGUGAAUACUUGGUGCUGUAGGCU